RNAcentral lists this ribosomal RNA (261 nucleotides) under uncultured prokaryote. RNAcentral describes it as "partial 16S ribosomal RNA". It matches the Rfam family "Bacterial small subunit ribosomal RNA", at positions 524 to 784 of the family's 1533-position model. The record is from RNAcentral.
UACGUAGGUGGCAAGCGUUGUCCGGAUUUACUGGGUGUAAAGGGCGCGUAGGCGGGAAUAUAAGUCAGGUGUGAAAUCUAUGGGCUCAACCCAUAAACUGCACUUGAAACUGUAUUUCUCGAGUGAUGGAGAGGCAGGCGGAAUUCCUAGUGUAGCGGUGAAAUGCGUAGAUAUUAGGAGGAACACCAGUGGCGAAGGCGGCCUGCUGGACAUUAACUGACGCUGAGGCGCGAAAGCGUGGGGAGCAAACAGGAUUAGAUA